RNAcentral lists this small RNA (774 nucleotides) under Pongo abelii (Sumatran orangutan). RNAcentral's name for it is "retained intron". The record is from RNAcentral. Lineage: Eukaryota; Metazoa; Chordata; Mammalia; Primates; Hominidae.
AUCUCACUAUGUUGCCCAGCCUGGUCUCUAACUCCUGGCCUCAAGCAGUCCUCCCCGCCUUGGUCUACCAAAAUGUUGGGAUUCCAGGCGUGAGCUGCACCCGGCCUUUCUUCCCUUGUAUUUUCUGUCAUGGCUUAAGCCAGCCUUGGUUUUCUAAAACUUGCCUAGAACACUUGACCGAGAGCCAAACUCUUUGGCUUGUCCCUGAUGGGGGCAGAGCCUCACAGCACCCCAUGUCUGCUCCCUCAACCCCACCCGGGUUAUCAGGGCAUUUCAGCAUCUCCUUGGCCCCUGCUGAGGGUCAUGGGCUACAUGUUCUGAGACCCUGCCCUGCCACCUGAGGAGUGUCCCACCCAUGCAACCUUCUGUCUCUGCUUCCUUGUUUCAGUGCUACAAGGUGAGCUGCCUGGAAAUCCCUGGGCCCCCUGGUCCCAAGGGCUACCGUGGACAGAAGGGUGCCAAGGGCAACAUGGGUGAGCCGGGAGAGCCUGGCCAGAAGGGAAGACAGGGAGACCCGGGCAUCGAAGGCCCCAUUGGAUUCCCAGGACCCAAGGGCGUUCCUGGCUUCAAAGGAGAGAAGGGUGAAUUUGGAGCCGACGGUCGCAAGGGGGCCCCUGGCCUGGCUGGCAAGAACGGGACCGAUGGACAGAAGGGCAAGCUGGGGCGCAUCGGACCUCCUGGCUGCAAGGGAGACCCUGGAAACCGGGUAAGAGUCGUUUGCACCCCUCCUUCAGCCUCGGCCCAGGGGGUGUGGGUGCCUGACCGGGCGGAAGG